UACGUAGGUGGCAAGCGUUGUCCGGAAUUAUUGGGCGUAAAGCGCGCGCAGGCGGUCCCUUAAGUCUGAUGUGAAAUCCCGUGGCUUAACCACGGGCGGUCAUUGGAAACUGGGGGACUUGAGUGCAGAAGAGAAGAGCGGAAUUCCACGUGUAGCGGUGAAAUGCGUAGAGAUGUGGAGGAACACCAGUGGCGAAGGCGGCUCACUGGCCCGAUACUGACGCUGAGACGCGAAAGCGUGGGGAGCAAACAGG
This 253-nucleotide ribosomal RNA is filed under the name uncultured bacterium. Its description in RNAcentral is "partial 16S ribosomal RNA". It matches the Rfam family "Bacterial small subunit ribosomal RNA", at positions 524 to 776 of the family's 1533-position model. The record is from RNAcentral.